CAAAACUAAGUCCGCGUUAGAAGUGCACAGUUUGGUGAAAUUAGAGGCAACGGAUUUGGCCUGAUUUCAAUUAAGAAACAUUCGUGAACCUCGUCGUGUCACAGCACUGACAAUACGUUUGCACGGCUGCUCUGGCGGCAUAAUUAAAUCUGGAGAAAAGGAAGAACCCAGCACGUAAAACGCUCGCCCGAGACCGUCGUACAGGGAACGUCGUGGAAAGCGAAACACCCUCUCGAAGCGGGCUAUCGCAGCAAAUCAGCAAGCAUCUCUGCUUUUCGGUAACGGUGGAGAAGUGAAUCGCCCAGAAAGAUCGUUCAACCGGACAAUAGAAGACCCCGCUAAGGGGUCUUUUUGUUUUAUACAUUCUUGCUUCUUGUUACCGUACCGUGACUGGGUGUUGCUUUGAGGCGCAAGCCUGCCGUGGUGCGUGGAUUGGUG
This is a long non-coding RNA of Armigeres subalbatus, 438 nucleotides long. RefSeq lists it as uncharacterized. The record is from RefSeq and is a predicted model, not a curated record. Lineage: Eukaryota; Metazoa; Arthropoda; Insecta; Diptera; Culicidae. The transcript is spliced from 4 exons.